Serinus canaria (Common canary) is the source of this 236-nucleotide long non-coding RNA. RefSeq lists it as uncharacterized. The transcript is spliced from 3 exons. NCBI's taxonomy places the organism in Eukaryota, Metazoa, Chordata, Aves, Passeriformes, Fringillidae. The record is from RefSeq and is a predicted model, not a curated record.
CUUUGCAGCUGAACCUGUUGGUGAAGGUGAUCUGGCUUCCAAGCCCAUGACCUCUACUGAGCCUCUGGGAUAUGGGCAGGGUGUGUCUGCAGAGAGGACUUCUCCAGCUCCUUUGCUGGUUCCUGCACACAAAUCCAUCUCUCAUCACACGAGUCUUCCAAUGGGAAAGAACAAAGCUAGAGGACACAAGAAACCCCAUGAGCCAUCCAAAUACAUGAGCCAAAUGCUAAAGGAAA